RNA transcript from Etheostoma cragini (Arkansas darter), 6638 nucleotides. It is a transcript of the gene named calcium-activated potassium channel subunit alpha-1, with no coding region annotated. The record is from RefSeq and is a predicted model, not a curated record. Lineage: Eukaryota; Metazoa; Chordata; Actinopteri; Perciformes; Percidae. The transcript has 34 exons.
UGUAAAUCUGCGAUGCCAUCUCCCGACAAAUGGAUGUGACAGGCGGCCGUCGGAGACCGAGAAAACCUGCUCUUCUACACAAGAACCCACCAUUUUUAUUUCUCCAAACGAAAUUUCCUUUAAGGAUAUCUGUAAACUGCGAGCUUUAACACGAGGAGCGCAUUCAACAGUGCGCGGCGCCCGAGCUCGAGUAGCGGACCUGCUGCAAGCUGCGCUGUUAACCAAGGUGGAGGAGUGAGUGACUCCAUCGACUCCCGAGGACGACACGUCUCGUCUACAACAUAAUACUUAAACAGCGUUACCCAUCGAGGAUCAGGACAAUCGUCCGUUUUUGAGCAGUUUGCGAGAAAAUGUGAUUUUUUUUGUCUUUUCGUUUUUGUUUUUUACGCACAGAUUAAACGGAUGACGCGCAAUUCCAGCCGUGAACGCGCAUCGCGAGGCGCACGACUGAUAUCUUGAUUUCAAAGGAAGUUUUCAUUGGUGUAACUGUGCGUGUGUCUGCGGUCGCCUCAACUUUUACGUCCUUGCUUGGUGGAGCCAGAUGAGAAGGCAAGGGAACGGAGGUUGACUUAACAUGGCUGAGCUGCUGGGGCAUCAGGGGGCGCUGGCUGGAGCUCCCCGAAACGCCUGAGUCCCAGACCAGUUGAUUGUUUUGGGGGCUGGCAGUUGACCAGAGGCCGAUAAUGUCGAAGAGGGAGAAAUUCAACCCGGAUCCGUCCAUUCACAUAUCCAAGAUGAAUGUCAUCAUUCCGUUUUCAUCAGAUGUGCCCUGUGACAGCAACGGCCAGCGGAUGUGGUGGGCUUUCCUCGCCUCCUCUAUGGUCACUUUCUUCGGGGGUCUCUUCAUAAUCCUCCUGUGGAGAACUCUCAAAUACAUGUGGACUGUGUGUUGCCACUGUAAUGCCAAAAAGAAGGAUGUCCAUCGGAUCACCACAGGUGAUGGCAUCAUCAAGCGCGCCGGCAAGGAUGACCCGGCGGCCAGCGAGGUGGGCUGGAUGACUUCGGUCAAAGACUGGGCCGGAGUCAUGAUAUCCGCUCAAACACUAACGGGAAGAGUCCUGGUGGUGCUCGUAUUUGCUCUCAGCAUUGGAGCCCUUGUUAUAUACUUCAUAGAUUCUUCUGAUGAUAUUGAGUCCUGUCAGAACUUCUACAAAGACUUCACGUUGCAGAUUGACAUGGCUUUCAACGUGUUCUUCUUGCUGUACUUUGGCCUCCGCUUCAUUGCUGCGAAUGACAAGCUGUGGUUCUGGCUGGAGGUGAACUCGGUAGUGGACUUCUUCACGGUUCCGCCGGUGUUUGUGUCGGUGUAUCUGAACAGGAGCUGGCUCGGCUUGAGGUUUUUAAGGGCCUUAAGGUUGAUACAGUUCUCAGAAAUUUUACAGUUUUUGAAUAUACUAAAGACAAGCAACUCAAUAAAGCUGGUGAACCUGUGUUCAAUCUUCAUAAGCACAUGGCUAACUGCAGCAGGAUUUAUUCAUUUGGUGGAAAACUCAGGGGAUCCUUGGGAAAACUUCCAAAAUUCCCAGGCACUUUCCUACUGGGAAUGUGUCUACUUACUCAUGGUUACUAUGUCCACUGUUGGCUAUGGAGACGUUUAUGCAAAAACCACCCUGGGUCGCCUGUUUAUGGUCUUCUUCAUCCUCGGUGGUUUGGCCAUGUUUGCUCGCUACGUGCCAGAAAUUGCUGCUCUCAUCCUUAAUCGGAAGAAAUAUGGAGGGAGUUAUAACUCGACCAGAGGCAGAAAGCACAUCGUGGUCUGUGGUCAUAUAACACUUGAGAGUGUGUCCAACUUUCUAAAAGACUUCCUACACAAGGACAGGGAUGAUGUCAAUGUAGAAAUUGUUUUUCUCCAUAAUAUUUCCCCUAAUCUUGAGCUGGAAGCCUUGUUCAAGCGCCACUUCACUCAGGUGGAGUUUUACCAAGGAUCUGUCCUGAACCCACACGACCUGGCCAGAGUCAAGAUCGAAUCAGCUGAUGCCUGUUUGAUCUUAGCCAACAAAUACUGUGCAGACCCUGAUGCCGAGGAUGCAUCCAACAUCAUGAGAGUAAUAUCUAUCAAGAACUACCAUCCAAAGAUCAGAAUAAUCACUCAAAUGUUGCAGUACCACAAUAAGGCCCACCUUUUGAACAUCCCGAGCUGGAACUGGAAGGAAGGAGAUGAUGCUAUUUGCCUGGCAGAGCUAAAACUGGGGUUCAUCGCUCAGAGCUGCCUGGCUCAGGGCCUCUCCACCAUGCUGGCCAACCUUUUCUCCAUGAGGUCCUUCAUCAAGAUUGAGGAGGAUACUUGGCAGAAGUAUUACCUGGAAGGAGUAUCCAAUGAGAUGUACACUGAGUACUUGUCGAGUGCCUUUGUUGGGAUGUCCUUCCCAGUAAUUUGCGAACUCUGCUAUGUGAAGCUAAAGCUGCUACUGAUAGCCAUAGAGUACAAGUCUGAUCAAAGGGAAUGCAGCACACUAAUAAACCCUGGAAACCAUAUGAAAAUGCAGGAGGGGACAUUGGGCUUCUUCAUUGCCAGCGAUGCCAAAGAAGUAAAGAGGGCACUGUUUUACUGUAAAGCCUGCCAUGAUGAUAUUACUGAUCCCAAAAGGAUAAAGAAAUGUGGAUGCAAGAAAUUGAUAUAUUCCAAGAAGGCUGCCUACAAGAAAAUGAGACUGGCAUGUUGUUUUGAUUGCGGCCGCUCAGAGCGGGACUGCUCUUGCAUGCCAGUUAAUGUGCGUUGUAACAUGGACUCCCCUCAACGCGACAUCCCACUCUCUGCUGUCUCUGUUAAUGAUUGCUCAGCCACUUUACGUGCCUCUAAAAAUAGCUAUAAUGGAUAUAUCAAAUCAAUUGAAGAGGACCAACAGUCGGCGUUGUCACCUAAAAAAAAGCAACGCAACGGAGGCAUGAGAAAUUCUCCAAACUCCUCACCCAAGAUAAUGAGACAUGAUCCGCUCCUCAUCCCAGGGAACGAGCAGAUUGAGAGCAUGGACGACAAUGUAAAGAAAUACGACUCCACAGGGAUGUUUCACUGGUGCCCGUCCAAAGACAUCGAAAAGGUCAUCUUGACCCGGAGCGAGGCAGCCAUGACUGUUCUGAGCGGCCAUGUGGUUGUGUGUAUAUUUGGAGACGUGAAAUCGGCGUUGAUCGGUCUCCGAAACUUUGUUAUGCCUCUGAGAGCGAGCAACUUUCACUACCAUGAGCUAAAGCACAUCGUAUUUGUUGGCUCACUUGAGUAUCUUAAGCGGGAGUGGGAGACUCUACACAAUUUUCCAAAGGUCUCCAUUUUACCUGGCACACCGUUGAGCCGGGCAGAUCUGAGGGCUGUCAACAUCAACCUCUGCGACAUGUGUGUCAUUCUGUCAGCCAAUCAGAACAAUAUUGACGAUGCAUCACUGCAGGACAAAGAAUGCAUUUUGGCGUCACUCAACAUCAAAUCCAUGCUGUUUGACGACAGCAUCGGGGUCUUGCAGGCUAAUUCCCAAGGCUUUACACCACCAGGAAUGGAUAGAUCCUCUCCUGAAAACAGCCCAGUCCAUGGAUUAGUGAGGCAGACUUCUGUCACAACUGGAGCAAAUAUUCCCAUCAUAACUGAACUAGCACCAUUAGCAAAGCCAGGCAAAAAACUGCCUGUGAUUUCAUUCAGUCAGGAUACAAGCAGUGGGACCAGCAUACAAAUAAUAACUGAGCUGGUGAAUGAUUCAAAUGUUCAGUUCCUGGACCAAGAUGAUGAUGACGACCCUGACACAGAGUUAUACCUGACUCAGCCUUUUGCCUGUGGGACAGCCUUUGCCGUCAGUGUGCUGGAUUCCUUAAUGAGUGCUACAUACUUCAAUGACAAUAUCCUCACCUUGAUCCGGACAUUGGUAACAGGCGGGGCAACGCCGGAGCUGGAGGGGCUGCUGGCAGAGGAGAAUGCGCUACGUGGCGGCUACAGCACACCCCAGACGCUGGCAAACAGGGACAGGUGUCGUGUGGCACAGCUGGCCUUGUACGACGGGCCCUUUGCCGACCUCGGGGAUGGUGGUUGUUAUGGUGACCUGUUUUGUAAAGCCCUGAAAACAUACAACAUGUUGUGCUUUGGCAUCUAUCGGUUGCGAGACGCACAUCUUAACGCACAAAGCCAAUGUACCAAACGGUAUGUUAUAACCAAUCCACCAUAUGCGUUUGAGCUGGUGCCCUCAGACCUGAUAUUCUGCCUGAUGCAGUUUGACCACAACGCUGGCCAGUCUCGAACCAGCCUCUCCCACUCUUCCCAUUCAUCCCAUUCCUCCAGCAAAAAGAGCUCCUCUGUCCACUCUAUCCCAGCGACCAACCGCACCAACCGCGCCAAAAGCAGGGACUCACGAGACAGACAAAACUGCUGAAUGAACACUACAAGCUUUCUAUGUGCAACAAGGAUGAAUAGAGUGGGCCAAGAAAAGACAUGGUUUACAGAUGAGCCAGAGAAUACCCACCUGAGGACCAUGCAGAUCAAGCCUGUGAAUAAGCUCGCCAUCAACCAAGUCAGUCAGAAUAAAUCCACAAGCAGCUUGAUUCCACCCAUCAGAGAAGCAGAAGAUGAGUGCUGAGCUCUGGACACACACUGACACCUGGACUCCCAGAAGACUCAUCGUGUAGUUGUCAGACUAGGAUUCAGGUGAUCUUCUCAUCUGCAAACAUUAAUCAUUAAUUGACGAAGAUGAGACAAACACAAACUGCUUUCCUCACUCACCCCUGCAGCUUAUUGUACAAGCAGAUUUAUUAUCAUACAUAAAAUAUACAUGAAGACAAUCAUAGUCAAAUGUUGCAACCCCUCAACUAUUAGUUUGCAUAGCUAAUCUUUAUUGGUGACCAGACUCCAUGACUUUUUGUUCUAUUUUGGGGAAUGAGUUUCACUUGAAGGAGCAAUGUAAAAAUAACCAAAACUACUUAAUGAGGUGAUUAUUAUAACUGUUUUGCUAUUGUAAAGGUUGCAUUUUUAACUGCUGAUGAACAACUACUACUGCAUUGACUUAACCCAGUGUUGCAGUUAUUCUGUACAGUAUGUUAAGAUGUGUAUUUGACAUCGACCUGUGAUCCCACAGCAAUGGCAUUGUUAGUGACUGACUCAGUGAUUCCUUUGCCAUUUGGAGCUAAUUCACAACAUUUGUGACAGUUAGGAUGGCCAGUGUCCAUGUGUAAAUGGCAUUUGGCUCCAGCCUUAUCUUUAUCCAUUUAUAUUUGUCUUAUUUUUUGCCUUUUUGAGUCGUUUGUUAUAAGUUAUUUCAUGUAGCAAUUUGGUUGCAAUGUCCAAAACCCCAGAAAUCGUAUUAAGUACAGCUUUUAAGUAUCUGCAAAGUUUCUCCAGGGGUAAAAUGUUAGGAAUACUCUUUAUCUUUUUGACAAUAGCCAAAUAUGAUAGAGCUGUUUUUUUGUCGACCAACAAAAUCUGAUUUAUAAUAACAAUAUACAGUUUAUAAUACAGUGACAGAGAUAUUUAUUUACCUAAGACAACAUAGACAGCACAGCUAAAUACUAUGGUAUAGCAUGGCACCAUAUAAUAACAAUGUAGAUUGAAUGUAAAAGCCUCAUAUCGUAUAAAGUGGGCAUCUUUAAGUCCUUCUUUGGCUGGAAGCACUGCCUGACACAAGAUUGUCUUGGAGGCCAUUAAGCACUCUUAUGUUCUCCAUGACCAAUCUUAAUGCCAUAGUUAUACAUGUUCAAGCUUUUUGUAGAUACAUGAGAAACAGCUCUAUCAUAAAAUGUUAUUUUGGCUAUUUAUGUGUUCAUCUUGGUGAUCAAUUAUAUCUGAUUCAUUCAUAAAACAAACACCUAAUGAAGUACAGAUCAUUUGUAAAUGCAUGAGUCCAGAAUGCAGAGGUUAUGAAUCUUAUUUAAAUUAUAAAACAUAGCUAUAUUGGCACUCUUGUCACUUUAGUUCAGAAUCAAUGAAGGGGGAAGAAAGAUAUAAAAUAAAACGCAAGCCUAAUCCACAGAGGAUGUGUCACAGUCUAGGCUAGGACUCAUGUUGGAUGAGAAAAGAAAGAGGAUGUGACAUUUUUACAGGCACAGAGAACAUUUAAACCAUCCAUUCCUCAGAGCCAGCAAGGUGCCAGGCAGUGCUGAAGCCAACGGAGGACUCAGAAGACCCACUGUAGCGAAAAGAGGCUAGUUUAGCUGAAUUUAAGACACGUCACUUCUGCUCUGUGACUGAGAAAUGCACCUUCCUCUUUACUCCGAGACAAAUGGUUUUAAAUACUUUGAAUUUCUUAAUACAAGGCUGUGAUUCCCUGGAGAUAAAUGGAACUGUAGUAAAUAAUUUGAAGUCUUAAAACUAUUUUGAAAUGAUCCAUCUUCAAUAGCAGAGCCUGAUAGCAAUUCAUUUUAUGUACUCUUCAAAGAAAUCUGUAAAGCUUAAUGUAAACUAUUUCUUUCUAGUGUGUUCUUGUUUGACUGUACCUGUGGGGUUGAGAGAAAUUCGGCAUUACGGUCUAGUUUGUAUUGUUUCGUGAAUUUCUUUUUAGCACAUUGACUUGUGGAUACAAUGCGACAGUGCUAAGUUGAUAUUUCUGACUAUGUCAUAAUAAUACCCAAUAAUAAAUACAGUUUAUUGUCUUGUAUAAAUAGGCUUGUACAUAAAAUUGUACAUGAUUUCAUUUUGUAUUUUCACAAAUUAAAAGCUGAUGUAUUGUGUUCUA